Molecule: ribosomal RNA, 485 nt
Filed under: uncultured bacterium
Lineage: Bacteria
Description: bacterial SSU rRNA
Rfam family: Bacterial small subunit ribosomal RNA
Source: RNAcentral
CUGGCGGUGUGCUUAACACAUGCAAGUGGUGCGACGAUCCAGAGCUUGCUCUGGGGCAAAGCCGCGAACGGGUGAGUAACACGUGGGUAAUCUACCCCGAUGACCGGGACAACCCGAGGAAACUCGGGCUAAUACCGGAUGUGGUACGGAGACAUAAGUCUCUUUACUAAAGGUAGCUUCGGCUUCCGCAUUGGGAGGGGCCCGCGGCCCAUUAGCUAGUUGGUGGGGUCAAGGCCUACCAAGGCAACGAUGGGUAGCUGGUCUGAGAGGACGAUCAGCCACACUGGGACUGAGACACGGCCCAGACUCCUACGGGAGGCAGCAGUGGGGAAUCUUGCGCAAUGCGCGAAAGCGUGACGCAGCAACACCGCGUGAGGGAAGACGGCCUUAGGGUUGUAAACCUCUUUCAGAUGGGACGAAGGUGAUGCGGUGAAUAGCCGAUGUCAUUGACGGUACCGUCAGAAGAAGCUCCGGCUAACUACGUG